ACUUAAAACUGCUCAACGCGAAAGUAGACAGCAACGCUGGUGAGGCGAGGACUAGCGCUGACAUCCAACUGAAAUUUAUCACAACUCUCAAAUAUAUUGCCUACACCCAAGAUUAAAACAACAUGCUUAUGCUAAAAAAAAAAAGAGGUCAAGCAUGAAAGCACAGUGAGACCGUAAAAAAACAACAAAGGCGGUACAGCACAUGCUAAUGAAUCCAGAUAAGCCAGUUCUUUAUCAGAUAAGAAUAAUGAAGGUUGCUGGUGCCAUCAUGAGGGUGAGCCACAAGAACUCGUGUUUUCUCGAACAGAGGCUGGCAACCGUAUUUGUAAUAAUGAGAAGCCAUAAAAACUUCUCUAUCCAUAACGUUGCUACCCAUAUUUUUUACUUUUUGCCACUGUAAUCAUAUGCUUAGGAAGCUGCCUGUUUGACCAAAGCACGGAAUAAGCAAUCUCAGUUAUGUGUUCGAACUAGAGCCGUAGAAGGACCUUCGAGCCAUUGCCAAGUUAUGCACUGUAAAAAGUUUGUUGACUGCGUAAUAGGCGUCGUUUACAGCGUGUCUUUGUCCUGUGAACACAGCUACAUUGGUCAAAGAGGUAGAUGCCUAAAUAUACCAUUACAGAAACAUUUUCAAAAAGUAAAAAACGUGGAUAGAAAUGGUUUUUUGGCUUCUCAUUGUUCAGAAUGUAGUUGCCAGUCUCUGUUUAAGAAAACAAGCUUUUGCAGCUCACCUUCAUGAUGGCAUUGAUGUUGUAAGAAUAGCUAAAGGAAGCUGUGUCAGUAAACCUUCAAUAUUCCUAUCUGAUAAAGAACUCGCUUACCUGGAUUCAUCGUCAUGCGGUAUUCUGCCUUAGUUGUUUUUUUAUAUUUACACUGCACUAUCAUCCUUCACUUCAUGUUAUUUGUUUCUAGCAUAAGCAUGUUGUUCUUAUCUUGGGUGUAGGCUAUAUAUUGUGUUGUGUUAAAUUUCAGUUAGAAGUCUGCGCUUGUCCUCGUGUCACCUGUGUUGCUUAUCAACUGUCAUGCUGAGCAGUUUUAAGUCUGCACAUGGAUGCAUUUUAUACAUGUUAAAAUGGACAGCACGAAAAAACGAGAACACAAGAAGAAAUACACACCACAGCACCAUCUUGCAACCAACUUUAUAAGAAAGCUCACCAUUAGAAGCAAACCAGAAGUCUCAAACUCGUCUGAGCUAGCGGGCCGCAGUUACAAAAUUUAGUCCUGCAAAGGCCGGGCCAGUGCAGACAUUCAUUAACACAGACAAUAAACACUGCUCUUCAUAAUAACCAAUUAGUGGCAGUUAUUUUUCUUGAUUUAAAAAAGGCUUUCCACACUGUCGAUCAUGGCAUCUCACUAAAUAAGUUGUGCUUAUGGGUUUUGCAACAGUGAACUUGAUUUUUUUCCCAGUUAUUUUGGUAAUCGAAAUCAAAUCGUACAUAUAACAUAAUGUCAUGCCCUCAGCAUCUUAGUACAAGAGUACCGCAGGGUUCAGUACUUGGUCCCCUGUUUUUCACAGUUUAUAAAAAUGACUUGUCCCAAACUUUACAAUUCGCUGAUAUAUCAAUGUACGCUGAUGACACCGCUUUGAUAAUUGCAGGUGACAACAUGAAGGAACUAGAGGAAGAAGCCCAAAUCGAGCUUGCUAUUGUUUCCGAAUGGACGCGCUCGUGCCUCUCGCCGUCGGCGCACCGUGACGGCUACCUCGACUGCCAUGCCGUGCGCCUCUCAUCGGCGGGGCCUUCGCCGCCUCGUCACCGACGUGCAUUGUGCCCCUGGCUGAAUCGUGGACCCGUCCGUGAACUCCUGUGACCUGCUCCCCAAUCUUUCCUGUCCUCUCCUCUCUUCGUCGCGCCUGUCGACUUCUGAUCACUACCUUUCCUAUUUUUUUCUGCUUUUCUUUUAUUCCCACCUUACCCCUACCCCUACAGGGCGCUUAGCCGUGUCGCCAAUGGGCAGACAGAAAUUAGCGCCCUUUUCCUUUCUCCCCCCAGAACAACUAGUAGUAGUAGCAAGCCUUUUCCCAUAUCUCAUAUAUGGGUCAUCUCUGAAGGAGAUUUGUCAUCAAGAUUCGAGAAAGAUGACGAUAUCGACUUUCAGAAUGGCUAAAACUACAAAAUAAAAAGCUUUUACUCCA
Long non-coding RNA from Rhipicephalus sanguineus (brown dog tick), 2131 nucleotides. RefSeq lists it as uncharacterized. The transcript is spliced from 2 exons. NCBI's taxonomy places the organism in Eukaryota, Metazoa, Arthropoda, Arachnida, Ixodida, Ixodidae. The record is from RefSeq and is a predicted model, not a curated record.